Molecule: ribosomal RNA, 206 nt
Filed under: uncultured bacterium
Lineage: Bacteria
Description: partial 16S ribosomal RNA
Rfam family: Bacterial small subunit ribosomal RNA
Source: RNAcentral
GGAUUGCAGGCUGNAACCCGCCUGUAUGAAGUUGGAAUCGCUAGUAAUCGCGGAUCAGCAUGCCGCGGUGAAUACGUUCCCGGGCCUUGUACACACCGCCCGUCACACCAUGAGAGUCGGGAACACCCGAAGUCCGUAGCCUAACCGCAAGGGGGGCGCGGCCGAAGGUGGGUUCGAUAAUUGGGGUGAAGUCGUAACAAGGUAGC